RNAcentral lists this long non-coding RNA (694 nucleotides) under Mytilus galloprovincialis (Mediterranean mussel). The record is from RNAcentral. Lineage: Eukaryota; Metazoa; Mollusca; Bivalvia; Mytilida; Mytilidae.
CUUUAUAAUCUAUUUAUGCAAAUACUUAAUUUUUGGUUUGUGUUUUUUUUUAUUUUUUUAAUUUUUUUUUAUUUGUUAUUUGCUUUUUGUUACUUUAGUUUUGCUUGUUCUCUAUGCUUUCUUGCAUGAUUAUCUGCAAUAUAUUGGCAGACACAUAUCAAUGUAAAUGCUAAUUCUGAUUUAUAUAUAUACAUAUACUCAUUUUCCAAUUUGCUGAGUUAAAAUUUUUGCCUUUAUUAUUCAUUUAUAUGUUUAUUCUCUGCUGCUUAUACAUGCAUAGUUUUUGCUAUUGCUAGUUAUUUACUUUUAUUCUGAACUGCUAUAAUGUGCUUAAUGCUGUGGUUGCUAUAUGCUUUACUUUAUUUUAUCAAAUACAGACUGACACAAAUGAGUUGAAGUUAGAAUAUGUAAAGUACAGACCACUUUUAAAGUGAUGUUUAUAUUUCAAAUUUAAGAAUGAGACGCUUGUUUAAAAUUAUCUUUCCUUGGUUGUGUUUAUGGUACAUGUACAUUAUAAUGAAAUGACAUUACUGUAGUAAGUUUUACACAAUCUUUGCUGAAACUUACUCAUUAAUAAGAUAUGCAUACACACACUCAGAAUGUGCAGUCUGUGUUUGACUGUUAGAUAGUUUUGUUAGUUUUCAAGAUAUAUUGAUCAUGCGUUAAUCUGAUUUACACUGUGAUACAGAAGUUU